CUAGCCCUGAAAUGGAUGGCGCUCAAGCGUCCUCCCGAUACUCGACCGUCGGGGCAGUAACGGCCCUUUCCAGGGUCUCGAAGCCCCGACGAGUAGGAGGGUCGUGGCGGUGAGCGUUGAAGGGACCGGCGUGAGCCGGCCUGGAGCCGCCGCUAGUGCAGAUCUUGGUGGUAGUAGCAAAUACUCGAGUGAGAUCCUUGAGGACUGACCGUGGAGAAGGGUUCCAUGUGAACAUCAGUUGAACAUGGGUUAGUCGGUCCUAAGCCUCAGCCGAAAGGCGUCUCAGCGCUGGCAAGGUGUCAGUCCCAGGGCCCCACGAACCUCGCUCGCCGAGGGGAGAGGGGCCAAGGCGCCCUUCCCGACCAGUGCUUGACCGCGGGAGCUCACUCUCGCCGGUCCGAGGUCGCGCGAACCCUUCCCAGCCGGUGCUUGACCGCGGAUUUAACCCCGCGGUCCCCGGUCCCGGGAGGGGCGGCGUCCUGGUUCCCUGGGGGAUUUCGGUCCCCCGGGGGAGCAGGCGUUUGCCGUUCAGCCGUUGUAAAUUCGUAGGCAAAAGGGAAUCUGGUACUUAUUCCAGAACCUCGUCCCGGAUAAAACGUCCCCGAGCCUCCGGGUAAGGGUAUAACGGUCCCGGUAACGGGAAUGACCCUGCAUACACUGGCGGCGGUCCGGGGAAAAGUUUUCUUUUCUGUUUAAGACUCCGUGACCCUGGAAGCUACUCGCAAGGCGAUAGGGUCGUGGUAGCGUAGAGCGCCGCGGUUCUUGCGGCGUCCCGUGCGCCGUCGUCGGUCCUUGAAAAUGCAGGCGAGGGCGGAAACCCAAUGGUCGCAGCAGGCUAUGCCCCACGACGUGGUCGUCCCCACCGGCACGGGCGCAUCAGGAAGUUGCCUCCGACGGGAUAGUAAGCUCUCUGGCGUCAGACUGGUAUCAGGACGAACCCAUCUUCUCCCUCGGGAGUGGAAGGGAGCGAACCACCAGCUCAAGUCCUACCUCUCAUUGUCAGGGUUCUGGGCCCUCGUGCCCUAACCUGUCACGGACUUUCGGGCGAGCCCGUACCCAUAUCCGCAGCAGGUCUCCAAGGUGAAUAGCCUCUAGUCGAUAGAUUAAUGUAGGUAAGGGAAGUCGGCAAAUUA
This 1133-nucleotide ribosomal RNA is filed under the name Thysanopoda obtusifrons. Its description in RNAcentral is "eukaryotic LSU rRNA". It matches the Rfam family "Eukaryotic large subunit ribosomal RNA", at positions 1306 to 1924 of the family's 3401-position model. The record is from RNAcentral. Lineage: Eukaryota; Metazoa; Arthropoda; Malacostraca; Euphausiacea; Euphausiidae.